GAAACUUUUUAUUUGAAGAGAGCAAGUCUUUAAAUAGAAAGUGAAUGGAGGUGGGGCUCUGGCUGGGGAGGCAAGAGCGACUGUGAGGAAGGGAGUCCAGCCUCUCUCCUUGCAGCACGGGGCACUGACGACAAGGCUUUUUCUGUUCCCAGGGAGGAAGAAUUACAUAAGAAUGUAAAGAGAUGGCUUAGUAGAACUCUGAACAGCAAAAGGCUCACGGAGGUCCAAGCACGUGCCGGAAGGUGGAAACAAGAGGCCUUUGCAUCUUCAGGCAUUUGCUGAGUUGCUCAGACGGUCUGGAUGGUGGAAUUUGCCAGAAAUGGGUCUUCAUUGCAUGGAGUCAGAGACUCAGGGCUCUCAGCUGCCCUGACCGCACCUCCGCCCAAGCCUGAGGCAUUUUGCGCCUGAGAGGAGAGGUGACAGAGUGGGCACAGGAACCAGCCACAACCACAGGGGCUCUUGCAAAUCGCAGCACAUAACAAACAGCCCUUGCCUGGUUUGCAGACAGGUUUAUUUCUGGGAAAGUUAAAUUCAGGACUCGCUCCAUGCAAAAUUGUAAAGUAGCUGUGCGUGUCUACUGCAGAGGCCCAGCCAGAAUACUACGUGGCACUGGGGCAUCUGGAGGACAUACCUGAACCUGCAGAAGGUUGGAGCGUUCCUUACCAUACUCCGGACCUGGCCAGGUCAGAAAGUGGAGCUCUGGAAGUUAAGGAACUUGCCUGGGGCCAUGCUGCUUGCUCAUCUAAGAAAACACAAUAAAGGGUCAGUGCCAUAUAACAAAGCGUGCAGCAUAAAGGUAUGUUGCAUAGCUAAUUAAUGAAAAUAUCAUCUUAUUUUCUGCAUAUUCCAAGACUUUUAAAAAUGUGUAAUUUGUUUUGAUUUUUUGUUGUAAAUACACAUUCAAUUUCAUGUAGAAUUUUGCAUCAGCAGUUUUGUGUUCAUUCUCUUAAAGAGGCCCUCCCCUGCAGCAGUUAAGUUUCCGGCCCCAUAAAAGCCAGAUCCACGCCGACCUGAUGGACACCAAAGGUGGAGGAGACGGUUAGGAGGGAGACAUGGAGAUGAGAAGAGAAGGGGUGGGUGGGGAGGGGAAAACCAGCUGGUGGCAGCUUGUGAGAGGCCCCCUGCGCCAUGCUGAAGAGGAUGAACUCUUGCUUGGGAGUCAAAGGAUUUUUAAGCAUGGAAAUGGCAGAAUGAGAUUUGUGUCUUCAGACAGUCCUGGAAGAAGGGGGUAGAACUGUCUACAGAAGGGGAAAAGGGGUAGAAAGCUGGAGAGUCAGGAGGCCAAGGCCACAGCAUAAAUUCAAGACACAAUAAUACCCAUUUCUAGGAGUUUUCAAGAAAAUUAAAUACGGUGAUGUGCGCAGGAGCGUCGUGUGAAACAUGAGGAGUGUUGUGACUACUGAUGGUGGUGGUGCGCGGUCUCUAUCCUGGGCCAGCAUGAAGGAGAGCAGGGUCCCGUGGAGAAGUGCUGGCUCCAGCUCACUCCUGCCUGCACAUGCCACCUGCCCCAUUAGCCUGCGUGCGUUUCCUCUGCCCCUUCUGUCUUGCUGGUGGAGAUUGCCUCCCAUCCUAGAGGCUGAGAACCAGGUAUUCACCUCCCCAGCCUCUCAGGGCCCAUAACCAAUCAAGGCCAAAGGACAAGAGGGCGCGUCUGCCGAAGGCCUCCCUAAGAAAACAAAGCAAAUGAAAGAACCUCCCGUCCUGCCUUCUGGUGGGCUCAUGUGAAGAUGGCACCUGGGCCAGUGGCCGCCAUCUUGUGGCCUGGGAAGGGCAGGGUGUGGCCAGGACAAAAGCUAGCCUUGUGAGGCGGCAGCAAAGAAGGACCCCAAGCCUCCAGAAUUUUUAUGAGGCAAUAAUGAACAUUACGGUUUAAGCUCCUGGAAAUGGAACAUUCUGAUAAUGGCUGAAGCAUCUGAAAGGGCAGCCUUGUGUCAAAGCCAUUCCGUGUCUUGUGCAUAUGAGCUUCUGUUUCACGUCAUCACCCAACAUCUUCAGACGGGACAGUCUGUGAAGAAGUGGUCUUGGAAGGCCCACAAAUGACGUCUGUGCGGGGUAGGGGAAGGAGGCUUGACCUCCAUGUGAAUGACUGUAUACGGUCAGUGGUAAACGUUUCUUUACCCAACAUACAACCUGCACUCCUGUCUACUUGUCUGGAUGUGUUAAAUAACCUCAACUUUUUCUCUGAAAUAAAGCACCACGUAUAGGAAUUCA
Equus caballus (horse) is the source of this 2211-nucleotide non-coding RNA. The record is from RefSeq and is a predicted model, not a curated record. Lineage: Eukaryota; Metazoa; Chordata; Mammalia; Perissodactyla; Equidae.